AGAGUUUGAUCCUGGCUCAGGACGAACGCUGGCGGCGUGCUUAACACAUGCAAGUCGAACGGUGACCUCGAGAGCUUGCUCUUGGGUGAUCAGUGGCGAACGGGUGAGUAACACGUGAGUAACCUGCCCCAGACUCUGGAAUAACCCCGGGAAACCGGAGCUAAUACCGGAUACGAGACGGAGCCGCAUGGCUACCGUUUGGAAAGUUUUUCGGUCUGGGAUGGACUCGCGGCCUAUCAGCUAGUUGGUGAGGUAACGGCUCACCAAGGCGACGACGGGUAGCCGGCCUGAGAGGGCGACCGGCCACACUGGGACUGAGACACGGCCCAGACUCCUACGGGAGGCAGCAGUGGGGAAUAUUGCACAAUGGGCGAAAGCCUGAUGCAGCGACGCCGCGUGAGGGAUGAAGGCCUUCGGGUUGUAAACCUCUUUCAGCAGGGAAGAAGCGAAAGUGACGGUACCUGCAGAAGAAGCACCGGCUAACUACGUGCCAGCAGCCGCGGUAAUACGUAGGGUGCGAGCGUUGUCCGGAAUUAUUGGGCGUAAAGAGCUUGUAGGCGGUUUGUCGCGUCUGCCGUGAAAAUCCGGGGCUCAACCCCGGACUUGCGGUGGGUACGGGCAGACUAGAGUGUGGUAGGGGAGACUGGAAUUCCUGGUGUAGCGGUGAAAUGCGCAGAUAUCAGGAGGAACACCGAUGGCGAAGGCAGGUCUCUGGGCCACUACUGACGCUGAGAAGCGAAAGCGUGGGGAGCGAACAGGAUUAGAUACCCUGGUAGUCCACGCCGUAAACGUUGGGAACUAGGUGUGGGUCUCAUUCCACGAGAUCUGUGCCGCAGCUAACGCAUUAAGUUCCCCGCCUGGGGAGUACGGCCGCAAGGCUAAAACUCAAAGGAAUUGACGG
Molecule: ribosomal RNA, 901 nt
Filed under: uncultured bacterium
Lineage: Bacteria
Description: bacterial SSU rRNA
Rfam family: Bacterial small subunit ribosomal RNA
Source: RNAcentral